AUUGAACGCUGGCGGCAGGCCUAACACAUGCAAGUCGAGCGAGCGGCGGACGGGUGAGUAACAUAUCGGAACGUACCGAGUAAUGGGGGAUAACUAAUCGAAAGAUUAGCUAAUACCGCAUAUUAUUCGAGCGGCCGAUAUCUGAUUAGCUGGUUGGUGGGGUAAAGGCCUACCCAGGCGACGAUCAGUAGCGGGUCUGAGAGGAUGAUCCGCCACACUGGGACUGAGACACGGCCCAGACUCCUACGGGAGGCAGCAGUGGGGAAUUUUGGACAAUGGGCGCAAGCCUGAUGCAGCCAUGCCGCGUGUCUGAAGAAGGCCCUAGGGUUGUAAAGUACUUUCAGUCGGGAGGCGUUACCGACAGAAGAAGCACCGGCUAACUCCGUGCCAGCAGCCGCGGUAAUAC
This 406-nucleotide ribosomal RNA is filed under the name uncultured bacterium. RNAcentral's name for it is "partial 16S ribosomal RNA". It matches the Rfam family "Bacterial small subunit ribosomal RNA", at positions 30 to 526 of the family's 1533-position model. The record is from RNAcentral.